AUAAAUAAAAUAAUAACACAACAAUCAGUGCAAGAAAACUACUAAUUAGAAUGCAUGCACCCUCAUUAAAGUCUUUUAUCUCGUUUUUCGGUUUUCGCAUAUUUUUUUAUUAUUCGGCUGCCGCUCAAGUUCCUCUGUUGGCUCCUCGUAUUUCCACCAUGAUGUCGGAAUAAAUUUCCAAAAAACUAUACAAGCGCAUAACUAAAUUAUCACAACUAUUUCCAUUCGCAAUUAUAUUUAUUUCGUACUUCGAAUUAUUCCGAGAAUUUAAUUAAUUAAAAACUCUCAAUUAACAUUAGCCCUCAACCAUAUUUAUUUAGAAGAAGGCCCAAAGUCUCCAAUUUAAUUAGCCCAAACUUUAAUUAAAAGAAAAGAAAAAGGAAGGCCCAAAACAUACACUCUUUCUCCACCAUCGAGCACUACCUCACUCUCAUUUCUCUUCUUCACCAAUUUUCCCCAAAUUGAGAGAUACCCAAAUCGCAAACCCUCAAUUCCGUCGCCAUCCUCAACUCGCCGGAGAUGGUGACUGCCGCUGCCACCGUCGGGUCCCCUGCACCUCGAUUUCCAUCUCCAGAAUCAGCCACCGUCGUCGUCUCCUCCGCGGAAAAACGCCGACGCAGCGAGGGGGGGGUCGGGCAGCCGUUGCUCAGCCGCUGCCGCUGAAAUUCCGCCGUCGCCGCCGUGGUUAAUAAGCCGCUGCUCUUACAGCAGCCCCGAGACACUCCGAUUCGACCCGAAAUCAACCCGAACAUCCCCGCACAACCCCUAACCAGCCCCGAUGACCGAGAGGAGUAGCCCACUGGAUUUUGCAGAUUCAGUUUCUGUCACAAAUUUGCAUAAUGUUUGGUUUCCGAAAGAAGUGCGAAAUUAUGCUAUGAACGGAGGAAUACAGAUUACCUGUAAUUCAAUUGAUUGAGCUCUCGGUUUCUUGAAUUGAAGUUGAGAAGAAUGUGUUUUGUUUUUCUGGCUGCAGAGAAUGAUUAGAAGACAGAAGAAUAAACUGAUGAGAAGUAAAUAAUAUAGUGGGAGGGUGGUUAAAGAUAUGUGAGAGAUUUAGGGGGGUGAGGGGGGAACGGUUUUUUUUUCAACGCGGAGAAGGAGUGGAAUUCGACUUUCUUUUUUUUAAUUAAUUUGGAUUUGUUUGGUAUUUAUUUACGAUCACGGAGAAGGAAAA
Long non-coding RNA from Salvia splendens (bonfire salvia), 1174 nucleotides. RefSeq lists it as uncharacterized. The record is from RefSeq and is a predicted model, not a curated record. Lineage: Eukaryota; Viridiplantae; Streptophyta; Magnoliopsida; Lamiales; Lamiaceae. The transcript has 2 exons.